This 342-nucleotide ribosomal RNA is filed under the name Brachymyrmex sp. CS0108. RNAcentral's name for it is "partial 12S ribosomal RNA". The record is from RNAcentral. Lineage: Eukaryota; Metazoa; Arthropoda; Insecta; Hymenoptera; Formicidae.
UUAUUUAAAUUAAGAAUAAUAAAAUUAAAUAUUAAAUGAAAACAUUAAAGAUAAAAAAUUUGGCGGUAAUUUAUAAUAUUAGAGGAAUUUGUUAAUUAAUUUGAUAAUCCACAAGUAGAAAUACUUAAUAAAUAUUUUAUAUAUUGUUGUUGAAAAUUUAUAUUAAGAGAUAGAUAACUUAAAAAUUAAAGGAUUUUUUAAUUCAAAUCAAAAUGUAGAAUUAUUAAGAUUUAAUGAAUUACAAUAAAAAAAAUUGGUAAAUAAAAAUUUUAAAGAUUUAUUUUAAAAGAAUUUAAAUGUAAAUUUAUAUAAAUUUAUAAAUUGAAUUUUAUUUAAAUUAUG